This 397-nucleotide ribosomal RNA is filed under the name uncultured bacterium. Its description in RNAcentral is "bacterial SSU rRNA". It matches the Rfam family "Bacterial small subunit ribosomal RNA", at positions 28 to 421 of the family's 1533-position model. The record is from RNAcentral.
GACGAACGCUGGCGGCGUGCUUAACACAUGCAAGUCGAGCGGUAAGGCCCUUUCGGGGGUACGACGAGCGGCGAACGGGUAGAGUAACACGUGGGUGACCUGCCCUCCAGCUCUGGGAUAAGCCUGGGAAACCGGGGUACUAAUACCGGAUAUGACUCCAUGACGCAUGUUGUGGGGUGGAAAGCCUUGUGCGGCUGAGGAUGGGCCCGCGGCCUAUCAGCUUGUUGGUGGGGUGAUGGCCUACCAAGGCGACGACGGGUAGCCGGCCUGAGAGGGCGACCGGCCACACUGGGACUGAGACACGGCCCAGACUCCUACGGGAGGCAGCAGUGGGGAAUCUUGCGCAAUGGGCGAAAGCCUGACGCAGCGACGCCGCGUGAGGGAUGACGGCCUGUGU